Molecule: RNA transcript, 2126 nt
Organism: Ziziphus jujuba (common jujube)
Lineage: Eukaryota; Viridiplantae; Streptophyta; Magnoliopsida; Rosales; Rhamnaceae
Exons: 4
Source: RefSeq, a predicted model, not a curated record
GCGUGGGCGCGUGAACAGUUGCAGAAAAAUUUCAGUCGGCGCGUGCGGGCGCGUGGAACGUCCGUUGUCUCUCCGGCGAACUUCGUUGUUCUCCUCUCGUCGGGUACUUUCACCUGGGAGUGUCAAAUUAAUUAUUUGAGCAACUUUCCGAAACACCAACUUGAAGAACAGUAGCUUUGUUUCUUCAAAUUUUGGACCCAAGCUCUCGACCUGGAGCUCUGAUACCACUUGUUGUGGUUCUCUGACCACUUUAGAGAAGAAAUAUGAGAAGAAAAUAAAAGAAUUCUAUUAAUCUCUUAAAAAUAGAAUACAAAAAUAAAAACUUCUCUUAUGGAGGAUUCUCUCGUGGAACCUCUCUCUGCACUCUCCAAUUCUCUCUGGAAUUGCUCACUCUUCUCUCAAGUUCUCUCUGGAACUUAAACAACUCUCUCUCUUGGAGUUUUCUCUCAAUUCUCCUCACUUGGGAGGAUUGAGAUUGCUCUCUUGGCUUGGUUUUCAUGCAAAGGUAAGGAGCUUAUUUAUAGGCUUACAAGGCCACACUUUUCAACAUCUUAGCCCACAAUUGUUGAUCGGUGCAGCAAUGGUGUCAACAAUGGUGGCUGUCAACAAUGGUGGCUGUGGUUGGUGAGGUUGGUGCGGCUGUGGUUGGUGAGGUUGGUGCGGCUGGACUUCACACUACACUCUCUUCCCAAUUGGUUCAAAAGCCUUACAUCUCUAGAGAUCCUGAGCUUUGAUGGGUGCUCAAAGUUAAAGCAUCUAUCCCCCAUCAUUCAACAUCUAGUCUCACUUCGACAUUUGGGUAUUAUUGGAUGCAAUGAGCUUGACAUGUCCAGGGCUGAAGUGAUUUCAUGGAAAGCCUGUACAAGCCUUGUGUCUCUCUCAUUCAGGGAUCUUCCACGACUGGAGACUCCUCCUGAAGGGCUUCAAUACUUUACUACCUUACGGGGACUUGAAUUUUUUGAGUGUAAGAAUUUGAAGGCCAUACCCGAGUGGUUUAGCAACCUCACAUCACUUAUAGAGUUUAUCCUAAUCAGUUGCCCCAAUUUGACAUCAUUGCCUAAAGGAUUACGCAGUAUCACCUCUUUACAAACAUUGAGGAUUUGGGGAUGUCCCAUCUUAUUGCGGAGAUGUAAAAGGGAAAAAGGAGAGGAUUGGCCUAAAAUUGCUCACAUUCCUCGUUUGGAUUUGGGGUCCCCUGAUGAUGCGGAAUCCCCUUCUGUCUCAGGGUCGUCCAAGUGGAAAAUCUUUAACAACUUUCGAGUACCCCAACUCUGCAACAAAUAAUGAAAUAAAUAUAUCACAAGCCAGCUUGAGAGGAAGUUGAGCUAGAAAAACAAUACGAGUUUGGCCGUUUUCGCUUUUCCUAACUCUCAAAACUGAAACUCAGUCGGCAUAUGCUGUAGGGUAAUUUUGGGCCCACCAAAAGCCUACCACAGCAAAUACAAAUCCAACACACCAGUCCAAAUCCAUAUUCACAUUUCCCAAACCUAUCACAUGAGAGCAGCUAGGAAGAACCAGAAGCGUUUUGCAUACAGAAGGGGAAGAAGUAAGUGGCAACCCUUCAAAACAAAGGACACAGGUGGGAACAAGCGGGGAAAUCAAGGACUAUGCGUACUGAAGAAGAAAAAGCGCGGGCAAGUCUAUAGGCACUCAGAAGCAUUGGGAUUGUUCCAUGUCACUGUAGACAAAGGGGUGUGGGGCGGCUAGGAGAGAAUAUUUAGAAAAGCAAUACGGCGUCGUUUUCCGCCAGUUGGUUUUAGAAGCCAAAUCUUGAAACGAUGUCGUAUGACUUUGCCAUUUGUGUUAAAAGCUAGUCCAGUUAAUUGUUUUGUUUGAUUGUUAGAAUUGUUAAACGAUGCGUUUUAGUCUUUUAGCUUUUAUCAAAGGAGCUUCUUGAUCUUCUUGUUAAUUUUCCAUUUGUCUCAAACGGAUGGCCAUUGUUGUAUUAAUUUCUAAGCGUGAGAAUAUAUUAUUGAUCAACUAGCUCCAGAACCGUUUAGAGUAUUCUCUCUGUUCCUUUUGAGAGCUUGGAUUCAUUCUAUACAGACUAUUGCGGCAUCAUGAGAUUAGAGUUACAAUGAUGCUGCAAAAUGCUCAACCCUGUACGGUAUUAUUAAUGUGCACAA